RNAcentral lists this ribosomal RNA (630 nucleotides) under Clostridioides difficile. RNAcentral's name for it is "bacterial SSU rRNA". It matches the Rfam family "Bacterial small subunit ribosomal RNA", at positions 167 to 816 of the family's 1533-position model. The record is from RNAcentral. Lineage: Bacteria; Bacillati; Bacillota; Clostridia; Peptostreptococcales; Peptostreptococcaceae.
UACGGGAUAAUAUAUUUGAGAGGCAUCUCUUGAAUAUCAAAGGUGAGCCAGUACAGGAUGGACCCGCGUCUGAUUAGCUAGUUGGUAAGGUAACGGCUUACCAAGGCGACGAUCAGUAGCCGACCUGAGAGGGUGAUCGGCCACAUUGGAACUGAGACACGGUCCAAACUCCUACGGGAGGCAGCAGUGGGGAAUAUUGCACAAUGGGCGAAAGCCUGAUGCAGCAACGCCGCGUGAGUGAUGAAGGCCUUCGGGUCGUAAAACUCUGUCCUCAAGGAAGAUAAUGACGGUACUUGAGGAGGAAGCCCCGGCUAACUACGUGCCAGCAGCCGCGGUAAUACGUAGGGGGCUAGCGUUAUCCGGAUUUACUGGGCGUAAAGGGUGCGUAGGCGGUCUUUCAAGUCAGGAGUGAAAGGCUACGGCUCAACCGUAGUAAGCUCUUGAAACUGGGAGACUUGAGUGCAGGAGAGGAGAGUGGAAUUCCUAGUGUAGCGGUGAAAUGCGUAGAUAUUAGGAGGAACACCAGUUGCGAAGGCGGCUCUCUGGACUGUAACUGACGCUGAGGCACGAAAGCGUGGGGAGCAAACAGGAUUAGAUACCCUGGUAGUCCACGCUGUAAACGAUGAGUAC